GCAUAUCAAUAGCGGAGGAAAAGAAACCAACAGGGAUUGCCUCAGUAACGGCGAGUGAAGCGGCAAGAGCUCAAAUUUGAAAGCUGGCCCCCUCGGGGUCCGCAUUGUAAUUUGCAGAGGAUGCUUCGGGAGUGGCCCCCAUCUAAGUGCUCUGGAACGGGCCGUCAUAGAGGGUGAGAAUCCCGUAUGGGAUGGGGUGUCCGCGACCAUGUGAAGCUCCUUCGACGAGUCGAGUUGUUUGGGAAUGCAGCUCUAAAUGGGUGGUAAAUUUCAUCUAAAGCUAAAUAUUGGCCGGAGACCGAUAGCGCACAAGUAGAGUGAUCGAAAGAUGAAAAGCACUUUGAAAAGAGAGUUAAAAAGCACGUGAAAUUGUUGAAAGGGAAGCGCUUGCGACCAGACUCGCCUACGGGGUUCAGCCGGUAUUCGUACCGGUGUACUUCCCCGUGGGCGGGCCAGCGUCGGUUUGGGCGGCCGGUCAAAGGCCCUCGGAAUGUAACGCCUCUCGGGGCGUCUUAUAGCCGAGGGUGCCAUGCGGCCAGCCCGGACCGAGGAACGCGCUUCGGCACGGACGCUGGCAUAAUGGUCGUAAGCGACCCGUCUUGAAACACGGACCAAGGAGUCUAACAUCUACGCGAGUGUUCGGGUGUCAAACCCGUGCGCGCAGUGAAAGCGAACGGAGGUGGGAACCCUCACGGGUGCACCAUCGACCGAUCCUGAUGUCUUCGGAUGGAUUUGAGUAAGAGCGUAGCUGUUGGGACCCGAAAGAUGGUGAACUAUGCCUGAAUAGGGCGAAGCCAGAGGAAACUCUGGUGGAGGCUCGCAGCGGUUCUGACGUGCAAAUCGAUCGUCAAAUUUGGGUAUAGGGGCGAAAGACUAAUCGAACCAUCUAGUAGCUGG
RNAcentral lists this ribosomal RNA (897 nucleotides) under Penicillium fagi. RNAcentral's name for it is "LSU rRNA". It matches the Rfam family "Eukaryotic large subunit ribosomal RNA", at positions 38 to 954 of the family's 3401-position model. The record is from RNAcentral. Lineage: Eukaryota; Fungi; Ascomycota; Eurotiomycetes; Eurotiales; Aspergillaceae.